RNAcentral lists this unclassified non-coding RNA (216 nucleotides) under Hevea brasiliensis (rubber tree). The record is from RNAcentral. Lineage: Eukaryota; Viridiplantae; Streptophyta; Magnoliopsida; Malpighiales; Euphorbiaceae.
AGAUGGAAUAUGAGCCAAAUAAGUUAAGUCAGUGUAUGUUUUCAAGUCAUUUCUCACCUGUGUAUCAAUUAUUUCCAGAUCAUAGAGAUUUCCAUAAUGCAGACCUGCUUAUCUAUUAUCAUUUACUGAUCUUACUAUUUAAUUUGUUUCCAAAAAACCUAUAAAACUACGUCAUCUUCGAUCCGAGGGCGACAGUUGUAACCUACAUGUAGUGUG